GUGAGGAAUAUUGGUCAAUGGGCGGGAGCCUGAACCAGCCAAGUCGCGUGAAGGAAGAAGGAUCUAUGGUUCGUAAACUUCUUUUGCAGGGGAAUAAAGUGCGGGACGUGUCCUGUUUUGUAUGUACCCUGAGAAUAAGGAUCGGCUAACUCCGUGCCAGCAGCCGCGGUAAUACGGAGGAUCCGAGCGUUAUCCGGAUGUAUUGGGUUUAAAGGGUGCGUAGGUGGUUUGAUAAGUCAGCGGUGAAAGUUUGCAGCUUAACUGUAAAAAUGCCGUUGAAACUGUCGGACUUGAGUGUAAAUGAGGUAGGCGGAAUGCGUGGUGUAGCGGUGAAAUGCAUAGAUAUCACGCAGAACUCCGAUUGCGAAGGCAGCUUACUAAGCUACAACUGACACUGAAGCACGAAAGCGUGGGGAUCAAACAGGAUUAGAAACCCGAGUAGUCC
RNAcentral lists this ribosomal RNA (445 nucleotides) under uncultured bacterium. RNAcentral describes it as "partial 16S ribosomal RNA". It matches the Rfam family "Bacterial small subunit ribosomal RNA", at positions 354 to 796 of the family's 1533-position model. The record is from RNAcentral.